Molecule: ribosomal RNA, 253 nt
Filed under: uncultured bacterium
Lineage: Bacteria
Description: partial 16S ribosomal RNA
Rfam family: Bacterial small subunit ribosomal RNA
Source: RNAcentral
UACGGGGGGGGCAAGCGUUGUUCGGAAUUACUGGGCGUAAAGGGCUCGUAGGUGGCCAACUAAGUCAGACGUGAAAUCCCUCGGCUUAACCGGGGAACUGCGUCUGAUACUGGAUGGCUUGAGUUUGGGAGAGGGACGCGGAAUUCCAGGUGUAGCAGUGAAAUGCGUAGAUAUCGUGAGGAAGACCGGUGGCGAAGGCGGAUCUCUGGACAGUUCCUGACGCUGAGGCGCGAAGGCCAGGGGAGCAAACGGG